RNAcentral lists this long non-coding RNA (459 nucleotides) under Rattus norvegicus (Norway rat). RNAcentral's name for it is "long non-coding RNA NONRATT016363". The record is from RNAcentral. Lineage: Eukaryota; Metazoa; Chordata; Mammalia; Rodentia; Muridae.
AAGGAACAGAAAUCAAGAUCACUUGGUAUCAUCAGAACCCAAUUCCUCCACAACAUCAAGCCCUGGAUCCCCCAACACCCUGGAAAAUUAAGGUUUUGAUUUAAAAUCACAACUCAUGAUGUUAGAGGUCUUUAAGAAGGACAUUAAUAACUCUUAAAGACACAGGACAUUCAUAAAUAGGUAGAAUCCCUUAAAGAGAAAACACAAAUAACCCUUAAAGGAAAACAUAACCAAAAUGUGAUGGAAUUGAACAAAACCAUUCAUGAUCUAAUAAUGGAAAUAGAAACAAUAAAGAAAUCACAAAGGGAGAAAAACCUGGAGAUAGAAAACCUAAGAAAGAGAUCAGGAGUCAUAGACACAAGCAUUACCAACAGAAUACAUGAGAGAGAAGAGAGAAUCUUAGGGGCAAAAGAUACCAUAGAAAACAUUGAUACAACCAUCAAAGAAAAUAUAAAACAA